GAUGAACGCUGGCGGCGUGCCUAAUACAUGCAAGUCGAGCGAACGGACGAGAAGCUUGCUUCUCUGAUGUUAGCGGCGGACGGGUGAGUAACACGUGGAUAACCUACCUAUAAGACUGGGAUAACUUAGGGAAACCGGAGCUAAUACCGGAUAAUAUUUUGAACCGCAUGGUUCAAAAGUGAAAGACGGUCUUGCUGUCACUUAUAGAUGGAUCCGCGCUGCAUUAGCUAGUUGGUAAGGUAACGGCUUACCAAGGCAACGAUGCAUAGCCGACCUGAGAGGGUGAUCGGCCACACUGGAACUGAGACACGGUCCAGACUCCUACGGGAGGCAGCAGUAGGGAAUCUUCCGCAAUGGGCGAAAGCCUGACGGAGCAACGCCGCGUGAGUGAUGAAGGUCUUCGGAUCGUAAAACUCUGUUAUUAGGGAAGAACAUAUGUGUAAGUAACUGUGCACAUCUUGACGGUACCUAAUCAGAAAGCCACGGCUAACUACGUGCCAGCAGCCGCGGUAAUACGUAGGUGGCAAGCGUUAUCCGGAAUUAUUGGGCGUAAAGCGCGCGUAGGCGGUUUUUUAAGUCUGAUGUGAAAGCCCACGGCUCAACCGUGGAGGGUCAUUGGAAACUGGAAAACUUGAGUGCAGAAGAGGAAAGUGGAAUUCCAUGUGUAGCGGUGAAAUGCGCAGAGAUAUGGAGGAACACCAGUGGCGAAGGCGACUUUCUGGUCUGUAACUGACGCUGAUGUGCGAAAGCGUGGGGAUCAAACAGGAUUAGAUACCCUGGUAGUCCACGCCGUAAACGAUGAGUGCUAAGUGUUAGGGGGUUUCCGCCCCUUAGUGCUGCAGCUAACGCAUUAAGCACUCCGCCUGGGGAGUACGACCGCAAGGUUGAAACUCAAAGGAAUUGACGGGGACCCGCACAAGCGGUGGAGCAUGUGGUUUAAUUCGAAGCAACGCGAAGAACCUUACCAAAUCUUGACAUCCUUUGACAACUCUAGAGAUAGAGCCUUCCCCUUCGGGGGACAAAGUGACAGGUGGUGCAUGGUUGUCGUCAGCUCGUGUCGUGAGAUGUUGGGUUAAGUCCCGCAACGAGCGCAACCCUUAAGCUUAGUUGCCAUCAUUAAGUUGGGCACUCUAAGUUGACUGCCGGUGACAAACCGGAGGAAGGUGGGGAUGACGUCAAAUCAUCAUGCCCCUUAUGAUUUGGGCUACACACGUGCUACAAUGGACAAUACAAAGGGCAGCGAAACCGCGAGGUCAAGCAAAUCCCAUAAAGUUGUUCUCAGUUCGGAUUGUAGUCUGCAACUCGACUACAUGAAGCUGGAAUCGCUAGUAAUCGUAGAUCAGCAUGCUACGGUGAAUACGUUCCCGGGUCU
RNAcentral lists this ribosomal RNA (1372 nucleotides) under uncultured bacterium. RNAcentral describes it as "bacterial SSU rRNA". It matches the Rfam family "Bacterial small subunit ribosomal RNA", at positions 28 to 1381 of the family's 1533-position model. The record is from RNAcentral.